CGGCGUGUGGCGCAGCCCGGGUAGCGCACUACUUUGGGGUAGUAGGGGUCGCUGGUUCAAAUCCAGUCACGCCGA
RNAcentral lists this transfer RNA (75 nucleotides) under bacterium. RNAcentral's name for it is "tRNA-Pro". It matches the Rfam family "tRNA". From Rfam's summary of the family: Transfer RNA (tRNA) molecules are approximately 80 nucleotides in length. Their secondary structure includes four short double-helical elements and three loops (D, anti-codon, and T loops). Further hydrogen bonds mediate the characteristic L-shaped molecular structure. tRNAs have two regions of fundamental functional importance: the anti-codon, which is responsible for specific mRNA codon recognition, and the 3' end, to which the tRNAs corresponding amino acid is attached (by aminoacyl-tRNA synthetases). tRNAs cope with the degeneracy of the genetic code in two manners: having more than one tRNA (with a specific anti-codon) for a particular amino acid; and 'wobble' base-pairing, i.e. permitting non-standard base-pairing at the 3rd anti-codon position. The record is from RNAcentral. RNAcentral also lists the same sequence under 5 other names.